Non-coding RNA from Rattus norvegicus (Norway rat), 797 nucleotides. The record is from RefSeq and is a predicted model, not a curated record. NCBI's taxonomy places the organism in Eukaryota, Metazoa, Chordata, Mammalia, Rodentia, Muridae.
GAAUGUGAAUAUCGUUGACUCUCAUGACAUGCCAUGUCUAUGGUCUUUUUCUGUGUUAUUUCAAGACCUUGACAUAUUUACUGGGUCACGGUGAUGGUUGAAAUUGCAAAGUAAUGCUUAUUAUUCACCUUAACAUAUGCUAUUAGAACUCCAGAUCUAUUUUAUUGUGGUAAUGCACUGCUACAUAAAUAAUAUAAAAGCACCCAGGCUACUGCUGGCAGGACAUGGGCAGGCAGGCCAGCCUAGCCUGUUCUCAUCUGGACUCUCUUACCCUGAGCUCAGUAUCUCCACUUGGCUCGCUUUGCAGGUCAUACCUGGAGUGUCAGAAUCAUGGAUGUGGUUUUCAAGAAGUGAGUGCAUUGCACUUGGAAGAGCUGUCCCUGCAGCUUGCUUGCGCAGCAUAGUAGAACUGGCGCUAAUGGCAGGGGCUCUAGUGAUCUGGCCCUGGAUGCAAAUGAGCUGUCCCUGCUCCUCACCUGAGCAGAGAUGAAGAACUGGCUUAGGUUUCCCAGGUGAAGGAGAUGUGGCCCUGCUGGCAUGAUGGUGGGAGAGCUGUCAAGCUCACCAACUCAGCUACCACCAAGACUUUGAAUUGGCCCAUGCAUACAUUUAUACCCAUCUUUAAAAUGUUGGAGAUUGUGAAAGGGCUGGUCCUCCAGAACCAAAGCUGUAAGAUCAUCACAACACUGGGCAGUAACAGGAUAUCAUAGAGAAGUAUUCAUAGUAUAGCAGAAGCCAGAGGGCUCAAAGCAGACCAAUGACUUACUGCAAUAAACAUCUGCAAAACACAAAAGAAA